AAAUCUCUGAGCAUACUGGUUGGUUCAGGAUAAGAACCUGAAGCUGGAGUACCUGGACACCCUGACCAAGCUAACAAACAUCCUGAGCAGCCACCCCAUGGCCUUUCAACUCAAGUUCCCUCAGAAACUAGAAAUUGUAACCUUCCUGGUGGUAAGUACAACUCGGGAGGAUGGAGGUGGAAAUGCACAGAGGAGGGAGGACGGGUCUUCAUGGAACCAUUGGCAGUGCUCCUGGGCUUGGCCUGGAGGAUAAAAGUCCAGAUUUUCCAGGGUCCUUUUCCAACCUUUUCCUUUUUCCAUCCUCAAGGUGGGGGUGAGUACUGUGGGGAAGGUAUGCUUGGGAGUAGAACAGAAGUGCUGUCCUUGAGAGUUUUUGGAAAUUCUAGGUUCUGGUUUCUUAUGAAUACAGCCUGGGGUAGGAGGAGGGGGAGGAAGACAAAAAAAAAAAUAUGUUCACAUCCUCUUUGUCUCUGGGGUGUGUGGGGGGGUGCAUUACAGGAGUUAAUCAGGGAGGAGCCACUGAGUUCCGUCUCCAGCUCCAUUAGGCGGAGGGCAGUGAACAUCAUCACUGACUUCAGGAAGCUCUAUCCCCUCAUAGAGGUAGAAGAAAGAACAGAGCUACUCCGAACGUGCUAUAAGAGUGUGCUCUGCCUGCCACCUACAGAAAUUUUGCAGAAGGAGGCAUCCAGUUCCCAGGAGGCCCACACCACUGUGGUAAAAAACUCUUUGAUGUUUGUCUCUUUGUAUUCAGUUUUUACUUUUGAGAGGAUGAGAAGUAUAGGUUUGGC
Molecule: long non-coding RNA, 788 nt
Filed under: Zalophus californianus (California sea lion)
Lineage: Eukaryota; Metazoa; Chordata; Mammalia; Carnivora; Otariidae
Description: lncRNA (ENSZCAG00015010036.1)
Source: RNAcentral